UACGUAGGCAGCAAGCGUUGUUCGGAGUUACUGGGCGUAAGGAGUGCGUAGGUGGUGCCCUAAGUCUGUUGUGAAAUCUCCCGGCUUAACUGGGAGGGUGCGGUGGAAACUGGGGUGCUUGAGUGUGGGAGAGGUAAGCGGAAUUCCUGGUGUAGCGGUGAAAUGCGUAGAUAUCAGGAGGAACACCGGUGGUGUAGACGGCUUACUGGACCACGACUGACACUGAGGCACGAAAGCGUGGGUAGCAAAUAGG
Molecule: ribosomal RNA, 253 nt
Filed under: uncultured bacterium
Lineage: Bacteria
Description: partial 16S ribosomal RNA
Rfam family: Bacterial small subunit ribosomal RNA
Source: RNAcentral